RNAcentral lists this ribosomal RNA (162 nucleotides) under Escherichia coli. Its description in RNAcentral is "partial 23S ribosomal RNA". The stretch from base 1 to 145 matches the Rfam family "Bacterial large subunit ribosomal RNA", at positions 2786 to 2925 of the family's 2925-position model. Lineage: Bacteria; Pseudomonadati; Pseudomonadota; Gammaproteobacteria; Enterobacterales; Enterobacteriaceae. The record is from RNAcentral.
CACGAAACUUGCCCCGAGAUGAGUUCUCCCUGACUCCUUGAGAGUCCUGAAGGAACGUUGAAGACGACGACGUUGAUAGGCCGGGUGUGUAAGCGCAGCGAUGCGUUGAGCUAACCGGUACUAAUGAACCGUGAGGCUUAACCUUACAACGCCGAAGCUGUU